GCAAGCCUGAUCCAGCCAUGCCGCGUGUGUGAAGAAGGCCUUCGGGUUGUAAAGCACUUUUGUCCGGAAAGAAAAGCUUCGGGUUAAUAGCCCGGGGUUAUGACGGUACCGGAAGAAUAAGCACCGGCUAACUUCGUGCCAGCAGCCGCGGUAAUACGAAGGGUGCAAGCGUUACUCGGAAUUACUGGGCGUAAAGCGUGCGUAGGUGGUUUGUUAAGUCUGAUGUGAAAGCCCUGGGCUCAACCUGGGAACUGCAUUGGAAACUGGCUGACUAGAGUGCGGUAGAGGGGUGUGGAAUUCCCGGUGUAGCAGUGAAAUGCGUAGAUAUCGGGAGGAACAUCUGUGGCGAAGGCGACACCCUGGACCAGCACUGACACUGAGGCACGAAAGCGUGGGGAGCAAACAGGAUUAGAUACCCUGGUAGUCCACGCCCUAAACGAUGCGAACUGGAUGUUGGGGGCAACUUGGCCCUCAGUAUCGAAGCUAACGCGUUAAGUUCGC
RNAcentral lists this ribosomal RNA (501 nucleotides) under gamma proteobacterium Jbg46. RNAcentral's name for it is "bacterial SSU rRNA". It matches the Rfam family "Bacterial small subunit ribosomal RNA", at positions 377 to 869 of the family's 1533-position model. The record is from RNAcentral. Lineage: Bacteria; Pseudomonadati; Pseudomonadota; Gammaproteobacteria.